Mycena latifolia is the source of this 91-nucleotide non-coding RNA. Lineage: Eukaryota; Fungi; Basidiomycota; Agaricomycetes; Agaricales; Mycenaceae. The record is from the annotation of a GenBank genome assembly.
GACCUAGUGGUGAAUGGAUCACAUUUGCUUCUCUUUGGAAAUAAUCCUAGAUCAUGCAGCAGGAGGUUCCGGUUCGAUUCCGGUUAGGUCA